UUGAACGCUGGCGGCAUGCCUUACACAUGCAAGUCGAACGGUAGGGGGGCAACCCUUGAGAGUGGCGAACGGGUGAGUAAUAUAUCGGAACGUGCCCAGUCGUGGGGGAUAACGCAGCGAAAGCUGCGCUAAUACCGCAUACGAUCUAUGGAUGAAAGCGGGGGAUCGCAAGACCUCGCGCGAUUGGAGCGGCCGAUAUCAGAUUAGGUAGUUGGUGGGGUAAAAGCCCACCAAGCCGACGAUCUGUAGCUG
RNAcentral lists this ribosomal RNA (252 nucleotides) under uncultured bacterium. Its description in RNAcentral is "partial 16S ribosomal RNA". It matches the Rfam family "Bacterial small subunit ribosomal RNA", at positions 30 to 289 of the family's 1533-position model. The record is from RNAcentral.